Molecule: ribosomal RNA, 444 nt
Filed under: uncultured bacterium
Lineage: Bacteria
Description: partial 16S ribosomal RNA
Rfam family: Bacterial small subunit ribosomal RNA
Source: RNAcentral
GUAGGGAAUAUUGGGCAAUGGUCGGAAGACUGACCCAGCCAUGCCGCGUGCAGGAAGACGGCCCUCUGGGUUGUAAACUGCUUUUAUCUGGGAAGAAAAAGGCCAUGCGUGGCAAAUUGCCGGUACCAGAUGAAUAAGCACCGGCUAACUCCGUGCCAGCAGCCGCGGUAAUACGGAGGGUGCAAGCGUUGUCCGGAUUUAUUGGGUUUAAAGGGUGCGUAGGCGGCUGAGUAAGUCAGCGGUGAAAGACUCCGGCUUAACCGGAGCAGUGCCGUUGAUACUGGUUAGCUUGAGUGUUGGAGGGGUACAUGGAAUUGAUGGUGUAGCGGUGAAAUGCAUAGAUACCAUCAGGAACACCGAUAGCGAAGGCAUUGUACUGGCCAACAACUGACGCUGAUGCACGAAAGUGUGGGGAUCGAACAGGAUUAGAAACCCCUGUAGUCC